GACGAACGCUGGCGGCGUGCUUAACACAUGCAAGUCGAACGGAAAGGCCCUGCUUUUGUGGGGUGCUCGAGUGGCGAACGGGUGAGUAACACGUGAGUAACCUGCCCUUGACUUUGGGAUAACUUCAGGAAACUGGGGCUAAUACCGGAUAGGAGCUCCUGCUGCAUGGUGGGGGUUGGAGAGUUUCGGCGGUUGGGAUGGACUCGCGGCUUAUCAGCUUGUUGGUGGGGUAGUGGCUUACCAAGGCUUUGACGGGUAGCCGGCCUGAGAGGGUGACCGGCCACAUUGGGACUGAGAUACGGCCCAGACUCCUACGGGAGGCAGCAGUGGGGAAUAUUGCACAAUGGGCGGAAGCCUGAUGCAGCAACGCCGCGUGCGGGAUGACGGCCUUCGGGUUGUAAACCGCUUUCGCCUGUGACGAAGCGUGAGUGACGGUAAUGGGUAAAGAAGCACCGGCUAACUACGUG
This 467-nucleotide ribosomal RNA is filed under the name uncultured bacterium. Its description in RNAcentral is "partial 16S ribosomal RNA". It matches the Rfam family "Bacterial small subunit ribosomal RNA", at positions 28 to 507 of the family's 1533-position model. The record is from RNAcentral.